This 253-nucleotide ribosomal RNA is filed under the name uncultured bacterium. RNAcentral's name for it is "partial 16S ribosomal RNA". It matches the Rfam family "Bacterial small subunit ribosomal RNA", at positions 524 to 776 of the family's 1533-position model. The record is from RNAcentral.
UACGGAGGAUGCAAGCGUUAUCCGGAAUGAUUGGGCGUAAAGCGUCCGCAGGUGGCUAUGUAAGUCUGCUGUUAAAGAGUGAGGCUCAACCUCAUAAAAGCAGUGGAAACUACAUGGCUAGAGUGCGUUCGGGGCAGAGGGAAUUCCUGGUGUAGCGGUGAAAUGCGUAGAGAUCAGGAAGAACACCGGUGGCGAAAGCGCUCUGCUAGGCCGCAACUGACACUGAGGGACGAAAGCUAGGGGAGCAAACGGG